CCUACGGGGUGCAGCAGUGGGGAAUAUUGCACAAUGGGGGAAACCCUGAUGCAGCGACGCCGCGUGAGUGAAGAAGUAUCUCGGUACGUAAAGCUCUAUCAGCAGGGAAGAAAAUGACGGUACCUGACUAAGAAGCCCCGGCUAACUACGUGCCAGCAGCCGCGGUAAUACGUAGGGGGCAAGCGUUAUCCGGAUUUACUGGGUGUAAAGGGCGCGUAGACGGCAGGACAAGUCUGGAGUGAAAUCCCGGGGCUUAACCCCGGACCUGCGUUGGAAACUGUGUGGCUGGAGUGCAGGAGGGGUAAGCGGAAUUCCUAGUGUAGCGGUGAAAUGCGGAGAUAUUAGGAGGAACACCGGUGGCGAAGGCGGCUUACUGGACUGUAACUGACGUUGAGGCUCGAAAGCGUGGGGAGCAAACAGGAUUAGAUACCCGAGUAGUC
RNAcentral lists this ribosomal RNA (440 nucleotides) under uncultured bacterium. Its description in RNAcentral is "partial 16S ribosomal RNA". It matches the Rfam family "Bacterial small subunit ribosomal RNA", at positions 338 to 795 of the family's 1533-position model. The record is from RNAcentral.